GUUCUUCUCGCUUUGAAAGCACAUAUACUAAAACUGAAAGACACAUAGAUUAGCAUCAGCUCUGUGCAAAGAUGACAUGCAAAUUCAUGAAGUGUUCCAUAUUUUA
Molecule: small nuclear RNA, 106 nt
Organism: Pteronotus mesoamericanus
Lineage: Eukaryota; Metazoa; Chordata; Mammalia; Chiroptera; Mormoopidae
Source: RefSeq, a predicted model, not a curated record